This 527-nucleotide ribosomal RNA is filed under the name uncultured bacterium. RNAcentral describes it as "bacterial SSU rRNA". It matches the Rfam family "Bacterial small subunit ribosomal RNA", at positions 8 to 526 of the family's 1533-position model. The record is from RNAcentral.
AGGGUUUGAUCAUGGCUCAGAUUGAACGCUGGCGGCAGGCCUAACACAUGCAAGUCGAGCGGUAACAUUUCUAGCUUGCUAGAAGAUGACGAGCGGCGGACGGGUGAGUAACGCGUAGAAAUCUGCCUGGUAGUGGGGGAUAGCCCAGAGAAAUUUGGAUUAAUACCGCAUACGCCCUACGGGGGAAAGCAGGGGCUCUUCGGACCUUGCGCUAUCAGAUGAGUCUGCGUCGGAUUAGCUUGUUGGUGAGGUAAUGGCUCACCAAGGCGACGAUCCGUAGCUGGUCUGAGAGGAUGAUCAGCCACACUGGAACUGAGACACGGUCCAGACUCCUACGGGAGGCAGCAGUGGGGAAUAUUGCACAAUGGGCGCAAGCCUGAUGCAGCCAUGCCGCGUGUAUGAAGAAGGCCUUCGGGUUGUAAAGUACUUUUGUCAGGGAAGAAAAGCCAACGGAUAAUACCUGUUGGUCAUGACGGUACCUGAAGAAUAAGCACCGGCUAACUACGUGCCAGCCGCCGCGGUAAUAC